GGGGCUUGCUGCCGAGAGGUGGCUCCCCUCAAAUGCAUCGGUUGGGCCUGUGGGUCGAACUCGAUUGGGCGUUGUAUUAUCCUCGCUUUAACGAGAUGUUCCCCUUUUUGCGCCCCUCCCCCGACCUGCCUUAUGAGUGGCGGUCAAGCAAACUUUGAAAUUCUGACCUCAAAUCAGGUAGGACUACCCGCUGAACUUAA
Molecule: unclassified non-coding RNA, 200 nt
Filed under: soil metagenome
Description: partial contains internal transcribed spacer 2 and large subunit ribosomal RNA
Source: RNAcentral